UUUUGUUUGGUUUGUUUUUGUUUUUUAUUUGGGUAGCAUGCCCGCAAUCUAGUGUAAAACAGUGGGGGUGAAUGUAGCAGUGUGAUGUUAUUACACUAGAUUGUAAAGUGAGAAGCUAUUCCGGUAGGAAAUUAUAUGAGCACCGACAGCUUUUAUUUUGAAAAGACGACCAAUCCAUUUCAAAACAGUGGGUAAUUUCCUGUCCCGAAAUUAUUAUCUUCAUUCAAAUUUAAUAUGUUGUGAACAAAACUGUGAAUUAUUACCUUUAAUGUUUAACAUAUUGAGUUCAUAGAUUGUUGUUUAAAGUAUCAGUUCGAAAUUUAAAAAGAAAAGUUAUCGGGUCAUACCAUUAUAACCUGUGAAAGGUUUUCCCACGCUUUCCGUCGCGCUCUUUCUGUUCGGAUCCCGUGGGAGAAGGCGCUGUGGAACACUGUGAAAAGAAAAGCCUGUUCUUGAUUACUAUUUUCUGCCAUUUGAAUGCAGGUAUGUGAUGUUUCAUUAUUAUUUUUGGUGGGAUUAUUUGGUUUAAUUAUUCUGUUUAAUUAUUUCUUUUCUUAUUCAUGUACUGUUUAAGAUUAUUAUGUCCAUGUUUGGGCUUAGUUAUUAAUUAGUGUUGCAAUUGUUUUUAUUUUGCAAGGUAAAUGUGUUACUUUACACAAGUCACACGCGUCUCUUUCUGUUCGGAUCCCGUGGGAGAAGGCGCUGUGGAACACUGUGAAAAGAAAAGCCUGUUCUUGAUUACUAUUUUCUGCCAUUUGAAUGCAGGAUCAUUAAAAGUGCUUUCCAAUCAGC
Molecule: long non-coding RNA, 792 nt
Organism: Xiphophorus maculatus (southern platyfish)
Lineage: Eukaryota; Metazoa; Chordata; Actinopteri; Cyprinodontiformes; Poeciliidae
Exons: 2
Source: RefSeq, a predicted model, not a curated record